CUUCACCGGGACCUCAUUCAGGUCGCUGAGGCUCAGGUCCAGUUCGUUGCCGUCCAGCUUGUCGCGGAGGUUCCCGCCCUUGCUACCGGCCUUGGUCAUGGUAACGCCGGCUGAGCGGGCCCCGGCUCCGGGGUUCCGGCGGGUGAAAGGAGCUGAAAUGUCGCUUGUCAGUUCAGCGGCCCCCCACCCAAACGACGACGCCUGAGCCCUCCGUCGCCGCCGAUGCGAGACCGCCUCCGCCCGCUGGCCGCACUCCGAGCCUCGCGCCUAGCUCCCACCGGUGCCGCGACGACGACCACUUCCGUGUCCACGUCACCUUCCGCGACCACUGAGAUGGGCUGGGCCAGAGCGGCCCGAGCGUGUGCGGGCACGCCCCCUGGUGCCCAGGGUGAUGCACUGCACGUCGCCGCCGCCGGAGGGGUGGGGUUGGAGGCUGCGAGCUCGGUUCACGUUCACCCGUGGCCCGCGGGCAUUAUUGCUGGCAGUGCCACGAGGCGAAAGGGCACGGACUGGGCGCCAGAAGACUGGGUUGACAUCCAAUACUGACCUCAUCAGAUCACCCCAAUCCCCCUGAUUAGGAGCAGAAGCUGGGUGUCCUCUAAAACUGCUCCCUGUCCUCUACUUAACCCCCGAAUAACCAUCAUGGGGAAAACUCUUCUUCCUGAAUUUCUCCUCUCUCCUCCCCACUCACUGCCUCAGUGCUUGUCUCUGUCCUUCCAUCCACUUUCACCCAGCUCCCCGGUGAUCUUUCUAAAAAUCUGGCCAAGUCUCUCCCCUACGUAAAACCCUUCAAACUUGCAGCUACCUCUAGGAUACGGACCACUUUCCUUUGGAAGCUGGGUCCUGCCUGCUUUCGCAGCUUCCUCACACGCUCCAGUCCCUGCCUGGCCUAGAUGCUGUGUAGAUUUCCAGGAGGUGGCUCCCACGUCUGGCCCUCCCCAGCGAUGGCCCUCCCUCCCCCCCACUCACCUCUGUCUAGCUAAUUCCUUAGUCCUUCAGGAAAUCUCCCCUGAACACCGUGAAUGCCAGACUGAGUUAGCGCCCCCCCCAACCAACUUAGGUCCCUGUUUGCUACUUUAUCAUCAGAGACAGUAGAGCUUGAUGGCCAAGUGGGACCUCUGGCACUAAUACCUAUCCACUGGGUAUUCAUCCUGGCUCUGCCACUUGCUACUUAUAAAACCGUAGACAAUCACCAGGCUUCAGUCUUAUCUAUGAAUCAAUCUAUGAGACAUGUAGCUAACAGAGGUUGGGGAGAACUGAAGGAGUAAAACACACCAAGAGCUUACAGCAGUCACUGGCACUUAGUAAGUACCCAAUAAAUAUUAGCUACAAUUCAUGA
This 1339-nucleotide long non-coding RNA is filed under the name Homo sapiens (human). RNAcentral's name for it is "HSALNT0390589". The record is from RNAcentral. Lineage: Eukaryota; Metazoa; Chordata; Mammalia; Primates; Hominidae.